AUGCCAAUGUUAAAUUUUGCUUGUUUUGUACUCCCUUUGUCGCUUGUUUUGAUCAAAUUUUAUAUGCAGACUAAAAAAAACGAAUGGAGUAUAAACAACUUUUUUCUCUACGGGAAAAAAAACCCGAAACUAAUAUUUUCGGUCAGAAAAUGGUUCUACCUAUCUCUCUCAUUCUAUCCUAUCUCUAGUUCUAUCCUGGGUGGCUGGCUAUAUACCCUGAAAACCCUUAAUAUAUCAUGCAUUUUUCAUUGCCACCACUUUGCGAUCCGAGGCGAUCUUCAUUUUCAGCCCCGAUAUGGUACUCCGUCGAGGGGAAUUUUGUCUUCAUCUUCAUCAACAUCAAUCAUCACGUUCCAACAUGAGUUAUGA
Molecule: ribosomal RNA, 369 nt
Filed under: Triticum aestivum (bread wheat)
Lineage: Eukaryota; Viridiplantae; Streptophyta; Magnoliopsida; Poales; Poaceae
Description: partial small subunit ribosomal RNA
Source: RNAcentral